RNAcentral lists this ribosomal RNA (301 nucleotides) under uncultured bacterium. Its description in RNAcentral is "partial 16S ribosomal RNA". It matches the Rfam family "Bacterial small subunit ribosomal RNA", at positions 509 to 808 of the family's 1533-position model. The record is from RNAcentral.
CAGCAGCCGCGGUAAUACGUAGGUCCCGAGCGUUGUCCGGAUUUAUUGGGCGUAAAGCGAGCGCAGGCGGUUUGAUAAGUCUGAAGUUAAAGGCUGUGGCUCAACCAUAGUUCGCUUUGGAAACUGUCAAACUUGAGUGCAGAAGGGGAGAGUGGAAUUCCAUGUGUAGCGGUGAAAUGCGUAGAUAUAUGGAGGAACACCGGUGGCGAAAGCGGCUCUCUGGUCUGUAACUGACGCUGAGGCUCGAAAGCGUGGGGAGCGAACAGGAUUAGAUACCCGUGUAGUCCCUGUCUCUUAUACA